GAUGAACGCUGGCGGCGUGCUUAACACAUGCAAGUCGAGCGAUGAAGUUUCCUUCGGGAAACGGAUUAGCGGCGGACGGGUGAGUAACACGUGGGUAACCUGCCUCAUAGAGUGGAAUAGCCUUCCGAAAGGAAGAUUAAUACCGCAUAAUGUUGAAAGAUGGCAUCAUCAUUUAACCAAAGGAGCAAUCCGCUAUGAGAUGGACCCGCGGCGCAUUAGCUAGUUGGUGGGGUAACGGCCUACCAAGGCGACGAUGCGUAGCYGACCUGAGAGGGUGAUCGGCCACAUUGGGACUGAGACACGGCCCAGACUCCUACGGGAGGCAGCAGUGGGGAAUAUUGCACAAUGGGGGAAACCCUGAUGCAGCAACGCCGCGUGAGUGAUGAAGGUUUUCGGAUCGUAAAGCUCUGUCUUUGGGGAAGAUAAUGACGUACCCA
RNAcentral lists this ribosomal RNA (437 nucleotides) under uncultured bacterium. Its description in RNAcentral is "bacterial SSU rRNA". It matches the Rfam family "Bacterial small subunit ribosomal RNA", at positions 28 to 481 of the family's 1533-position model. The record is from RNAcentral.